UACGGGGGGCGCAAGCGUUGUUCGGAUUUACUGGGCGUAAAGGGCGCGUAGGCGGUCAGCACAAGUCAGUUGUGAAAUCUCCGGGCUUAACUCGGAAAGGUCAACUGAUACUGUGCGACUAGAGUGCGGAAGGGGCAACUGGAAUUCUCGGUGUAGCGGUGAAAUGCGUAGAUAUCGAGAGGAACACCUGCGGCGAAGGCGGGUUGCUGGGCCGACACUGACGCUGAUGCGCGAAAGCGUGGGGAGCGAACAGG
This 254-nucleotide ribosomal RNA is filed under the name uncultured bacterium. RNAcentral describes it as "partial 16S ribosomal RNA". It matches the Rfam family "Bacterial small subunit ribosomal RNA", at positions 524 to 776 of the family's 1533-position model. The record is from RNAcentral.